AUUGAACGCUGGCGGUAUGCUUAAGACAUGCAAGUCGAACGGUAACAGGUUAAGCUGACGAGUGGCGGACGAGUGAGUAACGCGUGGGAAUCUACCUUGUAGUGGGGGAUAAGCCAGGGAAACUUGGACUAAUACCGCAUACGCCCUAAGGGGGAAAGGCGCAAGUCGCUAUAAGAUGAGCCCGCGUCUGAUUAGGUAGUUGGUGGGGUAAAGGCCUACCAAGCCGACGAUCAGUAGCUGGUCUGAGAGGAUGAUCAGCCACGUCGGGACUGAGACACGGCCCGGACUCCUACGGGAGGCAGCAGUCGGGAAUAUUGGACAAUGGGGGAAACCCUGAUCCAGCAAUACCGCGUGUGUGAAGAAGGCCUGCGGGUUGUAAAGCACUUUCGCCAGGGACGAUAAUGACGGUACCUGGAGAAGAAGCCCCGGCUAACUUCGUGCCAGCAGCCGCGGUAAGGUGACGCUCU
Molecule: ribosomal RNA, 467 nt
Filed under: uncultured bacterium
Lineage: Bacteria
Description: bacterial SSU rRNA
Rfam family: Bacterial small subunit ribosomal RNA
Source: RNAcentral